AUUUAAAUAGCUUAAAUUUAGAGUAUAACACUGAAGAUGUUAUGGUGAUAUUAAGAUCUUUAAAUA
Molecule: transfer RNA, 66 nt
Filed under: Pseudophoraspis kabakovi
Lineage: Eukaryota; Metazoa; Arthropoda; Insecta; Blattodea; Blaberidae
Description: tRNA-Phe
Rfam family: tRNA
About the family: Transfer RNA (tRNA) molecules are approximately 80 nucleotides in length. Their secondary structure includes four short double-helical elements and three loops (D, anti-codon, and T loops). Further hydrogen bonds mediate the characteristic L-shaped molecular structure. tRNAs have two regions of fundamental functional importance: the anti-codon, which is responsible for specific mRNA codon recognition, and the 3' end, to which the tRNAs corresponding amino acid is attached (by aminoacyl-tRNA synthetases). tRNAs cope with the degeneracy of the genetic code in two manners: having more than one tRNA (with a specific anti-codon) for a particular amino acid; and 'wobble' base-pairing, i.e. permitting non-standard base-pairing at the 3rd anti-codon position.
Source: RNAcentral